GGCUUUACACAUGCAAGUCGAGGGGCAGCGCGGGUAGCAAUACCUGGCGGCGACCGGCAAACGGGUGCGGAACACGUACAGAAUCUGCCAUUGUCUGGGGCAUAGCCCGGAGAAAUCCGGAUUAACUCCCCAUAAGAUAUUGGAAAGGCAUCUUUCAGAUAUUAAAACUCCGGUGGACAAUGAUGACUGUGCGUCCCAUUAGCUAGUUGGUGGGGUAACGGCCUACCAAGGCGACGAUGGGUAGCUGGUGUGAGAGCACGACCAGCCACACGGGCACUGAGACACGGGCCCGACUCCUACGGGAGGCAGCAGUGAGGAAUAUUGGUCAAUGGACGCAAGUCUGAACCAGCCAUGCCGCGUGAAGGAUGAAGGCCUUCUGGGUUGUAAACUUCUUUUAUCGGGGAAGAAAAUUAUGGUUUCUACUAUAACCGACGGUACCCGAGGAAUAAGCACCGGCUAACUCCGUGCCAGCAGCCGCGGUAAUACGGAGGGUGCAAGCGUUAUCCGGAUUCACUGGGUUUAAAGGGUGUGUAGGCGGGCUAUUAAGUCAGUGGUGAAAUCUCCGGGCUCAACCCGGAAACUGCCAUUGAUACUAUUAGUCUUGAAUGUUGUUGAGGUGGGCGGAAUAUAUCAUGUAGCGGUGAAAUGCAUAGAUAUGAUAUAGAACACCGAUUGCGAAGGCAGCUCACUAAACAACGAUUGACGCUGAGGCACGAAAGCGUGGG
Molecule: ribosomal RNA, 725 nt
Filed under: uncultured Sphingobacterium sp.
Lineage: Bacteria; Pseudomonadati; Bacteroidota; Sphingobacteriia; Sphingobacteriales; Sphingobacteriaceae
Description: bacterial SSU rRNA
Rfam family: Bacterial small subunit ribosomal RNA
Source: RNAcentral